GACGAACCGUGCGAACGUUGUUCGGAAUCACUGGGCUUAAAGGGCGCGGAGGCGGGCGACCAAGUCCUGGGUGAAAUCCUCCGGCUUAACCGGAGAAGUGCCUGAGAUACUGGUCGUCUGGAGGGAGGUAGGGGCAGCUGGAACUUCCGGUGGAGCGGUGAAAUGCGUUGAUAUCGGAAGGAACGCCGGUGGCGAAAGCGAGCUGCAGGACCUCUUCUGACGCUGAGGCGCGAAAGCCAGGGGAGCAAACGGG
Molecule: ribosomal RNA, 253 nt
Filed under: uncultured bacterium
Lineage: Bacteria
Description: partial 16S ribosomal RNA
Rfam family: Bacterial small subunit ribosomal RNA
Source: RNAcentral